This 415-nucleotide ribosomal RNA is filed under the name Amphipholis squamata. RNAcentral's name for it is "partial 16S ribosomal RNA". It matches the Rfam family "Archaeal large subunit ribosomal RNA", at positions 2013 to 2648 of the family's 2987-position model. The record is from RNAcentral. Lineage: Eukaryota; Metazoa; Echinodermata; Ophiuroidea; Amphilepidida; Amphiuridae.
GUCCUACUGACUGUGCAAAGGGCGCAAAGGCAACCCGCCUAUUUAUUGUAGGCAGGAGUCAGCGGCUAGACGAUAGAAGCUCUGUCUCUCUUUAUUAUUAUUUGAAUUUGACUUUAGGGCGAAGAGGCCAUAAUUUAUUACUGGGACAAGAAGACACCCUAUGGAGCUUUACUUUUAUUGUAAUUUACCUUACCACUAAAACCCAUAGUUGGGGCAACUUUCUUUUAUGUAAAACAAAGAAUGAAUAAUAAAUAAUCUAAUUUAGGUGAACUAACAAGUUUUAAUUAAAAGAAAUAGUUACCUUAGGGAUAACAGCGUAUACUCAACUUGAGAGUACUCAUUUGACAGAAGAGCUUGCGACCUCGAUGUUGGAUCAGAAAACCCUGGAUGUGCACCAGCCUCUAAAGGGAGGUUG